This 1409-nucleotide long non-coding RNA is filed under the name Anas platyrhynchos platyrhynchos (common mallard). RNAcentral's name for it is "lncRNA (ENSAPLG00000027006.1)". Lineage: Eukaryota; Metazoa; Chordata; Aves; Anseriformes; Anatidae. The record is from RNAcentral.
UCCGUUGCAGUGGGGCUGGACGCUGCCGGUAAGACCACCAUCCUCUACAAGCUGAAACUGGGCGAGAUCGUCACCACCAUCCCCACCAUCGGUGAGCGCCCGGCACCGGCACCGGCACCCCGUGUCCCCAGGCACCGUCACCCCAUGUCCCCAGGGUGGCAAGGAGCAGGACAUGCCACCGGCCACCCCUGUGCUCCACCACUGCCCUCCCAGUAUCCCCCACAGGCUGUGCGGGUGGGAUCUUGGCUCUCACCCCAAUAUACCACCAGUGGCCACCAGUACGGGGAUCCCAGUAGCCCGUCCCUGCCUGUCCGGGCUGGUGGAGAGCAUCGGGACCCGUCUGAGCCAUUGGGGCCGGGAGGCUGGGGCUGGUGCCGUGGGGUGCCCCGAUGGGGUGUCCUAUGGUGGUGGCCGGGGUGAUGGGGCAGGGAGCACCCCUGGUGAUCCCUCACCCGAGGGUCACGCUGCGCUUUUGGGGGAGCUGGGCAGGGAGAAUAGGGCAGGGGAACCCCCAGAAGCUCAACGAGGACACUGCCUCUGGGGAGAAGCGACCCCAAGCACCAGAUCCUGCUGGAGAGCAGCUCCAGGGAGACCCUGGGGGCGUGGGGGGCAAGGGGGAGGCACACAGGGGCUGGGACAUCUCCCACGGGAGGAGAGCUGGGAUGGCUCAGGGGCAUCCCAUCAGUGUAUAGGAAUCCCUUUUUUGGGGGGGAGCCCAGUGCCAGGACCAGGAGCACUGGGCACAAACUGGGGCCAGGGGGCUCCCACUGACCCCUCCUGCGCUGGGCGGGGGCCGGAGCCCUGCUGCAGCGAGGUUGUGGGGUCUCCCCUAUGGGGUCUCCUCCGUGGGGGUCUUCAAAACCCACCUGGACGUGGUGCUGGGCUGACAGCUCGGGCUGCAGCGGGGGCGGCACCGGGUGGGUUCUUGGGGUGCCCCCAGCCCCCGCUGGCCGUGGUUUGGGGGGGUGAGCACCCGUUGCGCCGCGCUGUGCCACACGGGUUCUCCAGGGGAUGCUUUUGGGAAAUGGCUGGGGCAAUCCCGUGUUGCUGCUGCUGGGCAGCCAGCAGGGCCCAUGUGAGCGUGCUGGGGGGUGUUUUAGGGAUCGGGGGUGUUUUAGGGAUCGGGGGUGCUCAGCUGAGGGCAGAGCCUUCGAGGGUGCCUCUCGGAGCCAGCCCGCGGCACCAGCGCCGGCUGCGGGUGGAGGCGCUCCCUGGGGGGGCGCGUGGCCGUGCCCCCUUGCUCUCCUCCCCACCGUGCCCCCAACCCAAACCUCUGCAGGGUUCAACGUGGAGACGGUGGAGUACAAGAACAUCUGCUUCACGGUUUGGGACGUGGGUGGGCAGGACAAGAUCCGGCCCCUGUGGCGGCACUACUUCCAGAACACGCAGGGCCUCAUCUUCGUGGUGGA